RNAcentral lists this ribosomal RNA (468 nucleotides) under uncultured bacterium. RNAcentral's name for it is "partial 16S ribosomal RNA". It matches the Rfam family "Bacterial small subunit ribosomal RNA", at positions 28 to 507 of the family's 1533-position model. The record is from RNAcentral.
GACGAACGCUGGCGGCGUGCUUAACACAUGCAAGUCGAACGGAAAGGCCCUGCGUUUGUGGGGUGCUCGAGUGGCGAACGGGUGAGUAACACGUGAGUAACCUGCCCUUGACUUUGGGAUAACUUCAGGAAACUGGGGCUAAUACCGGAUAGGAGCUCCUGCUGCAUGGUGGGGGUUGGAAAGUUUCGGCGGUUGGGGAUGGACUCGCGGCUUAUCAGCUUGUUGGUGGGGUAGUGGCUUACCAAGGCUUUGACGGGUAGCCGGCCUGAGAGGGUGACCGGCCACAUUGGGACUGAGAUACGGCCCAGACUGCUACGGGAGGCAGCAGUGGGGAAUAUUGCACAAUGGGCGGAAGCCUGAUGCAGCAACGCCGCGUGCGGGAUGACGGCCUUCGGGUUGUAAACCGCUUUCGCCUGUGACGAAGCGUGAGUGACGGUAAUGGGUAAAGAAGCACCGGCUAACUACGUG